GUGAUGACUUUCAGAGUGAAAAGAACUAAAGAUCAAUGCUCCUGUCUGGACUGCUAUACACACAUCCAUCCGGCUGAACAAACUGACCCUGAACCAGACCGUGAUUUCAGGUGCUUCGUGUAGAUAUGGAAGACUGAUAGGAAAUGACUGCUGAUUACCUUGGCAUUUCCCUCACAAAGGUGUUUCCACUGACAAGGUGACAAUGCUUAGACUUGAGGUCAUACUAGGAGACCUAGGCUCCAACACGGUCAUCUUUUGUAUUUCAUGGAAAAUCCUCCCAAGUGUACUAUUAUUCCCUGAUCUACGAAGAGAUUUCAUAUGUUGAGCGAACUCAUGUAUUUGCCAUGUAGAAUUCUGCCAGGAUUGUGUUUUUUGCAUGUUUGUCAUUGAUGUAGUAAAUCAAAAUGUUAACAGUGCCUAAUACUUGCUAUUUCAUCUUUAGAGUUAUUUUAUUCUACAUUCUGUUGCUGUCUCCUUCCCAAAUGGCACAAUAUCCCCUACAUAGUGCACUACUUUGUUAGUGGACAAUAUAGGGAAUAGGGUGCCAUUUAGGGUGCAUCCUAUGUGUAUAUUAAAGAUCCAAGGAGAUGGAGAAGUGGAGUAAUAUCUGUAAUGUCAUAGCUACCACAGUUAAUGUGUUCAUUUUGUGAACAUUAGUGAUGUAUCCUUGUAUUGAUGAGCCUGAACACCAGUCUGUUUGUGGUUUCAUGCCAACUCCUUGUCAUGCCAAGUGUCAUACGCAUUGUCAUUGGCUUUACAUGGACCGCCAUGGAGUUGGCAAGAGCACAAACAGAUCUGGAACCAGGCUAUGUAUUGAUGUCCUUAUGAGAACAAAAUUAGUUUUUGCCUUUAUGGUUAAGAGAUAUUUCCAUUAGCUGAAUUCUCACCACUUUACAGUGGACAUGUUCUAAGGUUGCAUAACAAAAAGUUUUAUAUAUUAGCAACAUGCUUUUGAAUGUUGCUUUGUUUAAUGUCUGGUUAUGUAUGUUAUGAGCACAUGAUGAAUAAACUUGACCUUCAAUAUUUAA
Molecule: long non-coding RNA, 1028 nt
Filed under: Salmo salar (Atlantic salmon)
Lineage: Eukaryota; Metazoa; Chordata; Actinopteri; Salmoniformes; Salmonidae
Description: lncRNA (ENSSSAG00000110566.1)
Source: RNAcentral